GACGAACGCUGGCGGCGUGCCUAAUACAUGCAAGUCGAACGCAGUGGGGACGGGUGAGUAACACGUGGGUAACCUCCCAUCAGAGGGGAUAACACUUGGAAUCAGGUGCUAAACCGAUACUGAUGGCUGGUCCCGCGGUGCAUUAGCUAGUUGGUGAGGUAACGGCUCACCAAGGCCACGAUGCAUAGCCGGCCUGAGAGGGUGAUCGGCCACACUGGGACUGAGACACGGCCCAGACUCCUACGGGAGGCAGCAGUAGGGAAUCUUGGGCAAUGGGCGAAAGUCGGACCGAGCAACCCCGCGGGAAUGAAGAAGGUUUUCGGAUCGUAAAACUCUGUUGUUAGAGAAGCGGUAUCUAACCAGAAAGCCACGGCUAACUACGUGCCAGCCGCCGCGGUAAUAC
Molecule: ribosomal RNA, 403 nt
Filed under: uncultured bacterium
Lineage: Bacteria
Description: partial 16S ribosomal RNA
Rfam family: Bacterial small subunit ribosomal RNA
Source: RNAcentral